Molecule: ribosomal RNA, 163 nt
Filed under: uncultured Bacteroidota bacterium
Lineage: Bacteria; Pseudomonadati; Bacteroidota
Description: uncultured Bacteroidetes bacterium partial 16S ribosomal RNA
Rfam family: Bacterial small subunit ribosomal RNA
Source: RNAcentral
GGAUGGAGCAUUCUGAUCCAGCCAUGCCGCGGUGCAGGAAGACGGUCCUAUGGAUUGUAAACUGCUUUUAUACAGGAAGAAAAANAGAGAUUCGUUCUUUUAUUGACGGUACUGUAUGAAUAAGAAUCGGCUAACUCCGUGCCAGCAGCCGCGGUAAUACGAA